This 1118-nucleotide ribosomal RNA is filed under the name uncultured archaeon. Its description in RNAcentral is "bacterial SSU rRNA". It matches the Rfam family "Archaeal small subunit ribosomal RNA", at positions 328 to 1450 of the family's 1478-position model. The record is from RNAcentral.
GGGCGCAGCAGGCGCGAAAACUGUGCAAUGCGCGAAAGCGCGACACGGGAAACCUGAGUGCUUUGACAAUGUCAAGGCUUUUCCUAAGCCUAAAAAGCUUAAGGAAUAAGAGCUGGGUAAGACGGGUGCCAGCCGCCGCGGUAACACCCGCAGCUCGAGUGGUGGUCACUUUUAUUGAGCCUAAAGCGUUCGUAGCCGGUCCUGUAAAUCUUCAGGAAAAUUCUUCCGCUCAACGGAAGAUCCUCUGAAGAGACUGCAGGACUAGGGACCGGGUGGGGUUGGAUGUACUUCUGGGGUAGGGGUAAAAUCCUGUAAUCCUGGAAGGACAACCGGUGGCGAAAGCGUCCAACUAGAACGGAUCCGACGGUGAGGAACGAGGGCUAGGGGAGCAAACCGGAUUAGAUACCCGGGUAGUCCUAGCUGUAAACACUGCCCACUUGGUGUUGCCCCUUCGUUGAGAGGGGGCAGUGCCGGAGCGAAGGUGUUAAGUGGGCCGCUUGGGGAGUAUGGUCGCAAGGCUGAAACUUAAAGGAAUUGGCGGGGGAGCACCGCAACGGGAGGAGCGUGCGGUUUAAUUGGAUUCAACGCCGGAAAACUCACCGGGAGCGACCUUUGGAUGAGAGCCAGCCUGACGAGCUUGCUCGAUAGAAGGAGAGGUGGUGCAUGGCCGUCGUCAGCUCGUACCGUAGGGCGUUCACUUAAGUGUGAUAACGAGCGAGACCCCCAUCUUUAAUUGCCAGUCUGACUUUGCGGUCAGAGGCACUUUAGAGGGACCGCCAGCGCUAAGCUGGAGGAAGGAGGGGUCGACGGCAGGUCAGUACGCCCCGAAUCUCCCGGGCUACACGCGCGCUACAAAGAGCAGGACAAUGAGUUGCAACCUCGAAAGGGGGAGCUAACCUCGAAACCUGCCCGUAGUUAGGAUUGAGGGCUGUAACUCGCCCUCAUGAAUGUGGAUUCCGUAGUAAUCGCGGGUCAACAGCCCGCGGUGAAUAUGCCCCUGCUCCUUGCACACACCGCCCGUCAAACCAUCCGAGCUGGUGUUGGAUGAGGGUAUGCCCGAGAGGACAAAUUCAAAUCUGAUGUCAGUGAGGAGGGUUAAGUCGUAACAAGGUAGCCGU